CUCCGCCUGAUCCGAUCCGCUACCCAACCCAACCAAUCAGCUCAACCCGAUCAACAACGCGCCUCCACCGCCGAUCUACCCGUCCGCUCCCGCCCCGCCGGAGCUCGAUCGCGCGGCGGCCGGCCGCUACGUGCUCGUCGGUGCUUGGCGUGCCCUCGGCGCGGGGUCGCGGCUGCCACGGCGAAGCCUGGAAGAAGAAGAAGAAGAAGAAGAAAGCAUCGGCAUCUUCCCCUCUC
RNAcentral lists this long non-coding RNA (236 nucleotides) under Oryza brachyantha (malo sina). Its description in RNAcentral is "long non-coding RNA (OBRA_LNC000403)". The record is from RNAcentral. Lineage: Eukaryota; Viridiplantae; Streptophyta; Magnoliopsida; Poales; Poaceae.